AGCGCUGAGGUAGCGUUCAGUUUCAGCCCCAGUGCCAUUAUGAUGGAUGUUUACAUCUCUUCAUUGAGAGCCAAUUAUCUCUCUUUUGUGUGAGGCCCAAGGAUCACUCAUGUUGCCAGGCUGCACGGAGCCCUGUUGGAUGUAGCUGAACCAAUUGUUUUCUCUGUCUCUGAUGCCCAGUGAUUUAAAAGAAAAAAAAAAAAAGAGAGAAACCUGAAAUCUACCCUCCUCAAAGAAAAUCAAUCUGUACACAGAACCUACCAGUUGAAGAUAAACCACUUUUAGAUGGUAUCAUUUAAUUAGCCAGUGAAGAGUCUACCUAGUGACAUACACAUAAAUUGUAAAAGAACUCAAAGUUGCCUGCAUGAACUUGAUUUAGCACAAAGUAUUUUUUGUUGUUGUUAAUAUUGCAUAAUAAUAAAAUUAUAUCAC
Molecule: non-coding RNA, 432 nt
Organism: Odocoileus virginianus texanus
Lineage: Eukaryota; Metazoa; Chordata; Mammalia; Artiodactyla; Cervidae
Source: RefSeq, a predicted model, not a curated record